GAUGAACGCUGGCGGCGUGCUUAACACAUGCAAGUCGAACGAUGAAGCCCAGCUUGCUGGGUGGAUUAGUGGCGAACGGGUGAGUAACACGUGAGUAACCUGCCCUUAACUCUGGGAUAAGCCUGGGAAACUGGGUCUAAUACCGGAUAGGAGCGCCUACCGCAUGGUGGGUGUUGGAAAGAUUUAUCGGUUUUGGAUGGACUCGCGGCCUAUCAGCUUGUUGGUGAGGUAAUGGCUCACCAAGGCGACGACGGGUAGCCGGCCUGAGAGGGUGACCGGCCACACUGGGACUGAGACACGGCCCAGACUCCUACGGGAGGCAGCAGUGGGGAAUAUUGCACAAUGGGCGAAAGCCUGAUGCAGCGACGCCGCGUGAGGGAUGGCGGCCUUCGGGUUGUAAACCUCUUUCAGUAGGGAAGAAGCGAAAGUGACGGUACCUGCAGAAGAAGCACCGGCUAACUACGUG
This 466-nucleotide ribosomal RNA is filed under the name uncultured bacterium. Its description in RNAcentral is "partial 16S ribosomal RNA". It matches the Rfam family "Bacterial small subunit ribosomal RNA", at positions 28 to 507 of the family's 1533-position model. The record is from RNAcentral.